This 466-nucleotide ribosomal RNA is filed under the name uncultured bacterium. RNAcentral describes it as "partial 16S ribosomal RNA". It matches the Rfam family "Bacterial small subunit ribosomal RNA", at positions 29 to 506 of the family's 1533-position model. The record is from RNAcentral.
ACGAACGCUGGCGGCGUGCUUAACACAUGCAAGUCGAACGGAAAGGCCCUGCUUUUGUGGGGUGCUCGAGUGGCGAACGGGUGAGUAACACGUGAGUAAUCUGCCCUUGACUUUGGGAUAACUUCAGGAAACUGGGGCUAAUACCGGAUAGGAGCUCCUGCUGCAUGGUGGGGGUUGGAAAGUUUCGGCGGUUGGGGAUGGACUCGCGGCUUAUCAGCUUGUUGGUGGGGUAGUGGCUUACCAAGGCUUUGACGGGUAGCCGGCCUGAGAGGGUGACCGGCCACAUUGGGACUGAGAUACGGCCCAGACUCCUACGGGAGGCAGCAGUGGGGAAUAUUGCACAAUGGGCGGAAGCCUGAUGCAGCAACGCCGCGUGCGGGAUGACGGCCUUCGGGUUGUAAACCGCUUUCGCCUGUGACGAAGCGUGAGUGACGGUAAUGGGUAAAGAAGCACCGGCUAACUACGU